RNAcentral lists this ribosomal RNA (679 nucleotides) under Streptomyces sp. RNAcentral describes it as "bacterial SSU rRNA". It matches the Rfam family "Bacterial small subunit ribosomal RNA", at positions 34 to 729 of the family's 1533-position model. The record is from RNAcentral. Lineage: Bacteria; Bacillati; Actinomycetota; Actinomycetes; Kitasatosporales; Streptomycetaceae.
CAUUGGCGGCCGGUCUUAACAUGCAAGUCGAACGAUGAACCACUUCGGUGGGGAUUAGUGGCGAACGGGUGAGUAACACGUGGGCAAUCUGCCCUUCACUCUGGGACAAGCCCUGGAAACGGGGUCUAAUACCGGAUAACACUUCCGUCCUCCUGGACGGUGGUUAAAAGCUCCGGCGGUGAAGGAUGAGCCCGCGGCCUAUCAGCUUGUUGGUGAGGUAAUGGCUCACCAAGGCGACGACGGGUAGCCGGCCUGAGAGGGCGACCGGCCACACUGGGACUGAGACACGGCCCAGACUCCUACGGGAGGCAGCAGUGGGGAAUAUUGCACAAUGGGCGAAAGCCUGAUGCAGCGACGCCGCGUGAGGGAUGACGGCCUUCGGGUUGUAAACCUCUUUCAGCAGGGAAGAAGCGAAAGUGACGGUACCUGCAGAAGAAGCGCCGGCUAACUACGUGCCAGCAGCCGCGGUAAUACGUAGGGCGCAAGCGUUGUCCGGAAUUAUUGGGCGUAAAGAGCUCGUAGGCGGCUUGUCACGUCGGUUGUGAAAGCCCGGGGCUUAACCCCGGGUCUGCAGUCGAUACGGGCAGGCUAGAGUGUGGUAGGGGAGAUCGGAAUUCCUGGUGUAGCGGUGAAAUGCCCAGAUAUCAGGAGGAACACCGGUGGGCGAAGGCGGGAUCUC